Molecule: long non-coding RNA, 4432 nt
Filed under: Ananas comosus (pineapple)
Lineage: Eukaryota; Viridiplantae; Streptophyta; Magnoliopsida; Poales; Bromeliaceae
Description: long non-coding RNA (ACOM_LNC014382)
Source: RNAcentral
GUGCAACGCGGCGGGGGAGAUAUUCAGGAUCGCCGCCAUCAUGAACGGGCUCGUGCUCAUCGGCGUCGCCAUCGGGUUCGUCCUCCUCCGAGUGGAGGCGGCGAUCGAGGAGUCCGAGUAGAACUAGGAUUAAACAAAAGUACUUGAGAAUUGCAUCAUGUUUUGUACUUUUUGUUUAUGUUAUAUGAACUAUAAAUUGUUUUGAAUUUGUACUAUGAUUGGUUGCAUACUCUGAAACAAGCCUUUUAAGUUGAGAAGUGUUUUGAGUUCCUGAUUCAUUUAUAGACUUAAUAGAUUUGUAUGAGUAACAAACAUAGGGGGUGAAAAGAAUGAUCAGAUAAAAGAGGCAAAAUAAGAAUGUUACAGAGAUUGUACAUAAAGAAAUUCAGAUUGUUGGUAACUGCAAAGCAAACUUACUGCUGAGAAGCAAUUACAGAUUGUAGGAAAACAUGUCUACAAAUCAGCAGAAUAUAAUGAACUCAAAAGUGUUUCAUGAGAAAACAAGCCUACAAAUUGUUCCUGGACUACCGCAUCUCAGUUCAUUUAAAUGCCCUAAUUGUUCAUCAAAUUAUAUGAAAGCAAAAAAUGUUGGCUAGAAGGGGCCAACAUCAUAUCUUGCGGCGAAAGUUGGAUUAGGUCGAGGCAUAGUCGAUGCCCUACAUGCUACGUAGCAGGAGCCAUAUUAUAAAUUAAGAUCCGUAGAUAUUGUAUCUAUACAUUUUAAGUAAAUAAGUUGUGUUUUUUUCAAUAAUUUGAGAGUUUUGAGUUAAUGGUUCAUGUCAACGCUCGACACAAACAGAUCACACACAGAGUUUUUACAGCAGAUUCACAUCUUCAAUACUUGCGGCAAUGGGAUAACACACACCCCCCACACCAAAAGAGAGAGAAGGGGUUGGAAGAACCCGAGCUUAAUGGGCGGGGCUGUAAAUUUGGGCCUCAUUGAGGUUAAUUUUAAUUUUGUGAAUAGGUGGACCAAGAGGCCCAUUUAGAUCCUACUCUAAGGUAGCGUUUGGUUGGGAAACAAGGAGGGGAAUAAGCCCGUUCCCAAACGCUGCGUUUGGUAUCCGAGAUUGGCAUCCGAAAACAGUAGUCCUCGGAUUUCUGGAAUAAGCCGAUAUAAGGAUAAAACUGUUGUUCCACCUUUUUCCUGGAACAAGCUUGUUCCCAGGUGAUAAUUAGGUUAAUUAAAGUCUAAAAAUAAUUUUAAUUAUAAUAUUAAAUAAUAUAUAAUUUAAUUAAUAUAUUUAAAUUAUUAUUUAUUACUAAAAUAAUAAAUUAAUUUAUUUAUUUAUUAUUUAAUUAAAUUAUUAUUAUUUAUAAAUUAUUAAUAAUUCAUUUAUUUAAUCAAUUAAUUUAUUAUUAUAUAUAAUUAUAUUAUUAAUUUAUAAUUUAAUAACUUAAUUUAUUAUUAAUUUAUUCCUAAUUAAAUUAAUUGACUUAUUGAUUAAUUAAUUUAAUAUUCUUAAUUAAUUUCGUAUUUAGAAUUAUAAAUAAUUUAUUAAUUUAGACAUUAUAAUAAUUUAAUUAUUUAUAUUAUUAAUUAAUAAUGUAUUAUUUAUAUCUAAUAGUUUUUAAUUUAUUUAUUUAUUUUAUUUUAAUUAUUGAUAAUUAUUAUUUUAAAUUAUUAUAAUUUAUUAUUUAAUUAUUGUUAUUUAAUUAAUUUAUUAUUAUAAUAUAUUAAUAUUAAUUUGUUAUUUUUUAAGUAAUAUUUUGAUUUUUAAUGAUUAAAUCAAAAUAAUUUUAAUUUAAAAUUAUAACUCCUAUCCUUUUGUUCUUUUUUUUUAAUGCUAAUCAGACCAAUACUAUUUAAUCUUAUUUUCUAGAAUAACCAAUUUUUAUCUAAAUAAAAAAUUGAUCUAAUUUCCUGUUUAUAUCUGAACUUUGUAUUAUCUCUAAAAUAAUAGGUUCUUUUUAUCAUCAAAAAUCAACGCCAGCCUUAAAUGGCUGGAGUAUGCAGUUGUGAUGGACUUGGCGCCCUCCUCUUAUCCUCUCGUUUGAGGAUAUUUGAGAUAUUUUGAGAUAUUUUAAGAGCUUAUCAUUAAAAGAUGUCUAAAAGAAGUAUUUUAUUUUUUUUUUUUUUUCUUCUGAGAUAUUUAUAAUAUAAUAAGUGCCUUAUUAGUCAAUAGUACACUUAUGCAUACACAAGAGGCAUAUUUGACCUUGAUAAAAUAUUUCCUAAAAAUAACUUAAUUCUCAUGAAAACAAAAAAACUCGUCUUGAUUCUAACUUUUAUUCUUAAAGAAUUACAUCUGUAUAAAAAAUAAAUAGAAUAAUAUAUUAUUUAGUAAAAUACAUAUUUGCAGUACAAAAUAAUUUUCUUUAUUUUGAAUAAUAUAAAUAGAAAUUGAAUAUAAUAUAGCUAAGACUAUUAUAUUUUAUUCUUAACAUUAAAUUAGUUGAGCAAAUAUAGAUGCUUUUUACAUAUUUGAUUUUAUUCCACCCUCUAAAUUACUUACAAACAAUUUGAUAUAUUAUAUUUAUAUAUUAUAGUAUAUAAUAUAUAUAUUAUAUAUAUAUAAAAUUGAGUUCGGAUCUUUUAAAAGCCAUCCAACCCCACCCUUGGUGCUUCUUAGCCGCGUUGGAUCUACUCCUUAUAACAUAAUAGCCUUUGAAUCCGUCAUACACCUAUUCACUACGACACUAUCCAUCAUCUCAACCCUACAUCUCUCAAUCUAUGUGCCUAAAAACUCCAAAAGCAUCACUCCCUUCGCUUUGAGAGUAUUCUAGCUCAACGUAUAUAUAUAUAUUAGCUUGGCUGGGCUAUAUUUCAGUAGCAAAAUUUUAUUUUUGCCUACUAAUUUUUUAGCCUUUUGGAUCAAACUCUUUUCAUUAUUUUCUAACCAUUGGGAUUACAUUACUAUCAACAGUGAGAACACUCAACCCUAGGGUGGACCACUCAGCUCUACGACUAAUUCAUCAUGACCCUACAAUUUUUCAUCCAGGCGUUAAAAACUUAUAGCCCAAAAGAGCGCUUUUCUAUUGAUAGUAUUCCAGCUUAAAUCUAUAUAUAUAUAUUAUAUAUUAUAUAUUAAAUAAUAUAUAUAUAGAGAGAUGAGGAUGAGACGAGCUAGAGUACGGGAGCGUUGAGGAGAUUGAGAGAGAGUUGAGAGAGAUGGCUCCGAUGAGGGAUAAGAGGAUGGUGAGAAUGAUUGAGAAGAGACGAGAUGUCAGUGAGGUACUAUGCUUUUGGAAGCACGCGAGCCCUUUCGUGCUUCCAGGUCAUUUUCGAUGUUAUCGACUUUCGAAUUCGUCGAUCGGCUCUGUUAAACUUGAUCAGAGUAUUUGAAGUACCUAGAAAUAGAUUUUAUGAUUUUCGAUAUCAUUUGCUGAGUCAUCGAAAGUGGCCUCAAAAUUCAAUAAUUUUAUAGCCUAGUGAGCCGUUUGCAAGUUUAACGUUAUAGAAAUAUCCCAAUCACAGUGAAAUUUUGAUAGAAAAUUCUUAUAUUUAAGAGUACUAAGUUAUUUGUGCUUGUAGAUUUUAGGCCUCUGGAUGUUAGGAGAAUAUGCGCGUUAGGAUGCGAUGCGGGCCCCCUAGGGUUGAGUAGGUUGUUGGCGUUAAAUAGUAUAUUGAAUGGUUGAAAAUGAGUCCGAUGAGUAGAUCUAACUGGUAAAAAUUUACAGCACAAACGGUUUGUACUCUUUACAAGCAUAUAGCUGGAUAUUAUAAUAUAUAAUAUAUAUAUAUAUAUAAUAUAUAUAUAUAUAUAGUCCGGCUGCUAUGCUAUCGAUAGUACAAAGUACUUGGUGCUAUCAAGUUUUUUGCCGUUAGAUUAAUCCCUUUGAUUAUUUUUACCCGUUAGAUUAUACUAUUCAACCAAUCACCCACUCAACCCUAGGGAGCCCACAUCAUCCUAACUGCACAUCUUUUAAUCCAAGGGUAAAAAAACUUAAUAUCACAAAGUCAUUGGUGCUAUUAAUAAUAUUCCAGCUUAGUUCUCUCUCUCUCUCUCUAUCUAUCUCUCUUUCUCUCUCUCUCUCUCUCUAUAUAUAUAUAGAGAGAGAGAGAGAGAGUCGGGCCGGAAUACUAUUAAUAACAAAAGGUCUUUUUUGCUAUCAAGUUUUUAACCUUUCGAUAAAAAAUUGUAGAGUUAGCAUGAUAUUAGUCCCUUAGGGUUGAGUGGUCCCCUUAGGAUUGAGUGGUCUCCACUGUGUUAUAAUAUUUAAUCCAAUGGUUAGAAAUGAUGAAAAGUUAAAAACUUGAUAACAAAAAGGGCCUUAUAAUAUUUGACAUGUUCUCUGUCAAAUCCCUAUAUAAUUUAUUACAAAACGGUGGUAUACGUGUCAAGUACUUUAACCAAUUACAAAACGGUGGUAUACGUGUCAAGCACUUUAACCAACUUUGGAGGAGUCGCUCACCUCUAAAAGUGAAGAUUUGCGUGUGGCUAGCAUUGAAAAGAAAAGUACCCACAGUAGACAACCUCUUGAGAAAGGG